RNAcentral lists this ribosomal RNA (474 nucleotides) under uncultured bacterium. RNAcentral's name for it is "bacterial SSU rRNA". It matches the Rfam family "Bacterial small subunit ribosomal RNA", at positions 335 to 801 of the family's 1533-position model. The record is from RNAcentral.
ACUCCUACGGGAGGCAGCAGUAGGGAAUCUUCCACAAUGGGCGCAAGCCUGAUGGAGCAACACCGCGUGAGUGAAGAAGGGUUUCGGCUCGUAAAGCUCUGUUGUUAAAGAAGAACACGUAUGAGAGUAACUGUUCAUACGUUGACGGUAUUUAACCAGAAAGUCACGGCUAACUACGUGCCAGCAGCCGCGGUAAUACGUAGGUGGCAAGCGUUAUCCGGAUUUAUUGGGCGUAAAGAGAGUGCAGGCGGUUUUCUAAGUCUGAUGUGAAAGCCUUCGGCUUAACCGGAGAAGUGCAUCGGAAACUGGAUAACUUGAGUGCAGAAGAGGGUAGUGGAACUCCAUGUGUAGCGGUGGAAUGCGUAGAUAUAUGGAAGAACACCAGUGGCGAAGGCGGCUACCUGGUCUGCAACUGACGCUGAGACUCGAAAGCAUGGGGUAGCGAACAGGAUUAGAUACCCUGGUAGGAUAGCG